Molecule: ribosomal RNA, 462 nt
Filed under: uncultured bacterium
Lineage: Bacteria
Description: bacterial SSU rRNA
Rfam family: Bacterial small subunit ribosomal RNA
Source: RNAcentral
GACGAACGCUGGCGGCGUGCUUAACACAUGCAAGUCGAGCGGUAAGGCCCUUUCGGGGGUACACGAGCGGCGAACGGGUGAGUAACACGUGGGUGACCUGCCCUCAGCUCUGGGAUAAGCCUGGGAAACCGGGUCUAAUACCGGAUAUGACUCCAUGACGCAUGUUGUGGGGUGGAAAGCCUUGUGCGGCUGAGGAUGGGCCCGCGGCCUAUCAGCUUGUUGGUGGGGUGANGGCCUACCAAGGCGACGACGGGUAGCCGGCCUGAGAGGGCGACCGGCCACACUGGGACUGAGACACGGCCCAGACUCCUACGGGAGGCAGCAGUGGGGAAUCUUGCGCAAUGGGCGAAAGCCUGACGCAGCGACGCCGCGUGGAGGAUGAAGGUCUUCGGAUUGUAAACUCCUGUUGCUCGGGACGAAUGGCUCCGGCCUAAUACGUCGGAGUGUGACGGUACCGGGUGA